UGAACGCCAUCAACAGCGGGAGCUACCGGGGGCUGCGCUGGAUCGACUCUGCCCACACCAUCUUCCGCGUCCCCUGGAAGCACAACGCCAGGAAGGACAUCACCAGCAGUGACCUGGAGGUCUUCAAGGGCUGGGCAAAGGUCAGUGGGCGGUAUGAGGAAGGCUCUGAGGACCCGGCCAAGUGGAAGACCAACUUCCGCUGUGCCCUGAGCAGCACCCACUUGUUCAAGCUGGAACAGGACCAUUCCAAGCGUGGUGAUGACCCCCACAAGGUCUUCUCCAUUGUCUCAGGUGAGCCUCGCCCCAUGGAGGGGCUGUGUUGGAUGGGCUGGGCCAUCUCAGGGCCUCCCAUUCCUAGUGCUCUCCUUUCAGCCACCCUCCAGGACGGCAAGGACAGAGAUUCCAACAUCCCUAACCCUGUGGUGGACCAGAAGGCAGCACAACAGCAGCUGCAGCUGGAGCUCCACCCCCAAGACAUGGCCUCAGCCAUUGCUGUCCCAGGAAGCAUCGACCCUGCAGAACUCUCGAUUCUGGAGGAGCUGUUGCAGCAGUGUGACAUCUCUCCCCGUGACCUUGGCUCACUGGCCCCAUCCUGGGUGCCCGCAGGUGAUUUCCCUGCAGGGGACACUCCCCACCAGGACAUUGUGCUCCAGCCUCACCAGGACACCCUGCUCCAGCCUUAUGCAGACACCAGCCAAAACAGCUGCUUCCCUCCCACGACAUUUCCACAAUGGGUGCCCGCAGUGGAGCAGCCCACCUUGGACACCUACCAACCAACAGGCCUCAUGCCACCAGAGGAGACAGGGGCCAUGCCACCGCCGUGCCACCUGACGGAGGGCACGGUCCCCAUGCAGUACGUGGCAGAGGCGACGGUGUUCAUGCCCGCCGCCAGCCCUGUGCCACAGCCACGGCUGCUGAUGGAUAACACAGAUGGCAUCAUGUCCAUCCUGGAUAUCACCAUCUACUACCGGGGGAAGGAGCUCCACCGGGAGGUGGUGGGCGGCAGCCGCUGCCUGCUGACGUACCCGUGCCCNNNNNNNNNNNNNNNNNNNNNNNNNNNNNNNNNNNNNNNNNNNNNNNNNNNNNNNNNNNNACGGGCGCUUCACCGAGGAGCUGCUGGGCAUGGCAGGGCUGCAGCUGGAACAUCGCGCCCACAAGGUCUUUGCCACCCGCCGGGAGAAGUGCAAGGUGUUCUGGGCCUUGUCCCGGCAGCUCGAGGGGGUCGAGGAGCCCCCACCCAACCUGCUCUGCCGGGACCAGGAAACGCCCAUCUUUGA
RNAcentral lists this long non-coding RNA (1277 nucleotides) under Geospiza fortis (medium ground-finch). RNAcentral describes it as "lncRNA (ENSGFOG00000006969.1)". Lineage: Eukaryota; Metazoa; Chordata; Aves; Passeriformes; Thraupidae. The record is from RNAcentral.